This 959-nucleotide non-coding RNA is filed under the name Physalaemus bokermanni (Bokermann's dwarf frog). Its description in RNAcentral is "partial 12S ribosomal RNA". It matches the Rfam family "Bacterial small subunit ribosomal RNA". Lineage: Eukaryota; Metazoa; Chordata; Amphibia; Anura; Leptodactylidae. The record is from RNAcentral.
AACCCUGAAAAGUCCUUUAAACACAAAGGUUUGGUCCCGACCUUGAGAUCAGUUACUACUUAAUAUACACAUGCAAGUCUCCGCACCCCUGUGAAAACGCCCUUUAAUCCCUUCAGGGAUAAGGAGCUGGUAUCAGGCCCGAAACUCUGCCCAAGACACCUAGCUAUGCCACACCCACAAGGGAACUCAGCAGUGAUUAACAUUGAGCAUAAGCGACAGCUUGACUCAGUUAAAGUUCAAAGAGCCGGCAAAUCUGGUGCCAGCCGCCGCGGGUACACCAUUAGGCUCAAAUUGACCUCGAUCGGCGUAAAGCGUGAUUUAAGACACAAAAAAUUGAAGUUAAACUAAAACUAAGCUGUGACACGCUUGUUUUUAAGAAAACCUAACACGAAAGCUACUUCAAUUAACACAACUUGAACUCACGACAGUUAGGAUACAAACUGGGAUUAGAUACCCCACUAUGCCUGACCGUAAACUUUAAAUUACAACCCAUCGCCUGGGAACUACGAGCAAAGCUUAAAACCCAAAGGACUUGACGGCACCCCAAAUCCACCUAGAGGAGCCUGUCCUACAAUCGAUAACCCCCGUUCAACCUCACCACCUCUAGCUCUUCAGCCUGUAUACCUCCGUCGUCAGCUUACCACGUGAGCGUACAUUAGUGAGCUUAAUGCCAAUAUAUUGACACGCCAAUACGUCAGGUCAAGGUGCAGCAUAUGAGGCGGAAAGAGAUGGGCUACACUCUCUAGCUUAGAAUACACAAAAGACUAUUUAUGAAACCUAGUCUGAAGGCGGAUUUAGAAGUAAAAAGAAACAAGAGUGUUCUCUUUAACUAGGCACUGGGGUGUGUACACACCGCCCGUCACCCUCUUCAAAGCUUAUAAAAAGUUCUUAACCAACUUAUGCUACAUAGAAGAGGCAAGCCGUAACAUGAUAAGUAUACCGGAAGGUGUGCUUGGAAA